Neoarius graeffei (lesser salmon catfish) is the source of this 1385-nucleotide long non-coding RNA. RefSeq lists it as uncharacterized. The record is from RefSeq and is a predicted model, not a curated record. NCBI's taxonomy places the organism in Eukaryota, Metazoa, Chordata, Actinopteri, Siluriformes, Ariidae. The transcript is spliced from 4 exons.
UCUUGAAAUUACUUAUAAUUGAAUUGUUUAAUUCAGUCAGUAAGCAGGAACUUCAUACUUCUAUAUUCAAAAAUAUCCAAAAUGGUUUAUAUCACAAACAUGCGAGCAUGUAUAACAAUAACCUCGCAUGUGAUUGGACCAGGACCAGGCGGUCAUGGGCGUGGCUCAUACAGUAUAAACAGGUGUACCGUAGCUUACCAGGUAGUUUUCAUGUGCUCCGGAACUUUCUCUUGGUUUCUGGGAUUUUUGCUGCUUGGUGAUCUUCAAUGGCUGGACGGCGCCUCGCGUUCUACUCUCCGUCGACUCCUGUGUCUGGACGCGAUGGACCUGUGUCGGGAAUUCCGCAGACCGAUGAGAGAAAACUGCUGUCUGCUCUCAGUGGGUUGUCUCGUCAGAUUGCAGAGCUGACUACAUUCGUAACUGACAGAUUCAACUCUAUGGACGACAGAUUCAACACCGUGGAAGACAGAUUGAUUGCUUUGGAGGGACGUAACUUUGGGGAAAACGCAAACUCCAGGAAGAAAAGACGGGUGCAGAGUCCCAUGAUUGCGGUAAGAAUUUGUCCGGUGUCUGCUAGCUAAGCUAAAUAGCCUAAAAGUAAGCAUAGCAGCUAGCCCAAGCUAAAAGUAGCCAGUAGCUAGCUAUGAGGGACAAUUGACUUAAAAACAUUGUUUUGUUCUUUUCACAGGAAACAGUACGCCGUCUUCACAACUCGGAGACAAACACUAGGCGAUACGAGCCGGCGCAAGGACUAACUUCGCCUCAUAACGAAGCCGUGACAAGCUAUUUAGUGCGGGCUUUGUCGACAAAUCCAAAUCUUCAUGAUGCUGACAAAGACAACAUUGUGUCUGCCUGCAAGACGUAUUACGAAACCUUACGCAGGAGCUACAGGUACCAGCAGCCUGAUCUUUCGUUGCAGGCGGAAGCAAUGAAGUAGCCGGCUCGUAGUCGCUCCAGAAGAAAGAGGCUGUUUGACGUGAGACGAGGUGUCCUUGCUAUGGACGAGAUGGAUGUAUGGCAGUGUGCUACCGUAGACCUGAUGUCGGAUGAGGAAAAUGGGGUGGUGGAAGGGGUGUCUGGGUGGAUCGUUAAGCCUCCGCCAUCCCGUAACCCGGAGCUCAGCGAACUCUGUGCUACGCUGCAAUCAAGGCUUGAGGCAGAUCCAAAGUACAGGGCAACCCACCACAGACGACUGCAUGUCGGUCCGAUGCCACCUGCUCCCCACAGCUCAGAGACCGCAAGCAUGCACUUCAUGGAGCUGUAGGACUAAAAUACGGUGCUUAUUUGCUUUUGUUUAGUUUUGUAUCCUGCACAUCUCUCUUGCACUAGAGAAUGUAUAGGCAACUACUGUUUGUCUUUGACUGAAUGCUGCCAUUUUGUUUAUU